This 492-nucleotide ribosomal RNA is filed under the name uncultured bacterium. RNAcentral describes it as "partial 16S ribosomal RNA". It matches the Rfam family "Bacterial small subunit ribosomal RNA", at positions 29 to 507 of the family's 1533-position model. The record is from RNAcentral.
AGUGAACGCUGGCGGUAGGCCUAACACAUGCAAGUCGAACGGCAGCACGGGAAGCGCUUGCUCUUACGGUUGGCGAGUGGCGGACGGGUGAGGAAUACAUCGCCUUCUUCUUUUUCGUGGGUGAUAACGGAGGGAAACUUACGCUAAUACCGCAUACUACCUACGGGUGAAAGCAGGAGAUCUUCAGGCCUUGCGCGUUUGAAUGAGACGAUGUCGCAUUAGCUAGUUGGCGGGGUAAAGGCUCACCAAGGCAACGAUGCGUAGCUGGUCUGAGAGGAUGAUCAGCCACACUGGAACUGAGACACGGUCCAGACUCCUACGGGAGGCAGCAGUGGGGAAUCUUGCGCAAUGGGCGCAAGCCUGAUGCAGCAAUGCCGCGUGAGUGAUGAAGGCCUUCGGAUUGUAAAGCCCUUUUGUUAGGGAAGAAAAGCUGCAGGUUAAUCCGCCGCCGUCCUGACGGUACCCAAAGAAUAAGCCCCGGCUAACUUCGUG